RNAcentral lists this transfer RNA (73 nucleotides) under Planctomycetales bacterium. RNAcentral's name for it is "tRNA-Phe". Lineage: Bacteria; Pseudomonadati; Planctomycetota; Planctomycetia; Planctomycetales. The record is from RNAcentral.
GUUCAACGGUUAAGCGAAAACGUCAAAGCGACUGAAAAUCCGUGUGUCGGCGGUUCGAUCCCGCCCCCGACCA